UGUCUAGAUGGCGUAGUGGUCAGCACAUCUGCUUACUAAGCAGGAGACCCUGGUUCGAAUCCGGGUCCAACAA
This is a non-coding RNA of Schistocerca nitens (vagrant locust), 73 nucleotides long. Lineage: Eukaryota; Metazoa; Arthropoda; Insecta; Orthoptera; Acrididae. The record is from the annotation of a RefSeq genome assembly.